GCAAACAGGAUUAGAUACCCUGGUAGUCCACGCCGUAAACGAUGUCAACUAGUUGUUCGUGUCAUAAACGAUGUGAGUAACGCAGCUAACGCACUAAGUUGACCGCCUGGGGAGUACGGCCGCAAGGUUAAAACUCAAAUGAAUUGACGGGGGCCCGCACAAGCGGUGGAGCAUGUGGUUUAAUUCGAUGCAACGCGAAGAACCUUACCAUCCCUUGACAUCCAGUGAAUUUUCCAGAGAUAGAUUAGUGCCUUCGGGAACACUGAGACAGGUGCUGCAUGGCUGUCGUCAGCUCGUGUUGUGAGAUGUUGGGUUAAGUCCCGCAACGAGCGCAACCCUUAUCCUCAGUUGCCAGCACGUAAUGGUGGGAACUCUGUGGAGACUGCCGGUGAUAAACCGGAGGAAGGUGGGGACGACGUCAAGUCAUCAUGGCCCUUACGGGAUGGGCUACACACGUGCUACAAUGGCGCAUACAAAGGGAAGCAAGCUAGCGAUAGCAAGCGGAUCUCAAAAAGUGCGUCGUAGUCCGGAUCGGAGUCUGCAACUCGACUCCGUGAAGUCGGAAUCGCUAGUAAUCGCGGAUCAGAAUGCCGCGGUGAAUACGUUCCCGGGCCUUGUACACACCGCCCGUCACACCAUGGGAGUGGGCUGCACCAGAAGUAGUUAGCUUAACC
Molecule: ribosomal RNA, 674 nt
Filed under: Idiomarina sp. SBC15
Lineage: Bacteria; Pseudomonadati; Pseudomonadota; Gammaproteobacteria; Alteromonadales; Idiomarinaceae
Description: bacterial SSU rRNA
Rfam family: Bacterial small subunit ribosomal RNA
Source: RNAcentral